UAUAAGAUAAGCUAAAAGCAAGCUGUUAGGUUCAUACCCUAAAAAUGAGAUUUCUCUCUUAUAA
Molecule: transfer RNA, 64 nt
Filed under: Pomacea maculata
Lineage: Eukaryota; Metazoa; Mollusca; Gastropoda; Architaenioglossa; Ampullariidae
Description: tRNA-Met
Source: RNAcentral